Molecule: ribosomal RNA, 493 nt
Filed under: uncultured bacterium
Lineage: Bacteria
Description: partial 16S ribosomal RNA
Rfam family: Bacterial small subunit ribosomal RNA
Source: RNAcentral
GACGAACGCUGGCGGCGUGCUUAACACAUGCAAGUCGAACGGAAAGGCCUGCUUUCCCUUGUGGAUUGCGGGUACUCGAGUGGCGAACGGGUGAGUAACACGUGAGUGAUCUGCCCCCAACUUGGGUAUAAGCCUGGGAAACUGGGUCUAAUUCCCGAUAGGACUGCAGGGUGGUGCCUGUGGUGGAAAACGAUUUUCUAGUGGUUGGGAUGAGCUCGCGGCCUAUCAGCUUGUUGGUGGGGUAAUGGCCUACCAAGGCGGCGACGGGUAGCCGGCCUGAGAGGGUGGACGGCCACAUUGGGACUGGGAUCCGGCCCAGACUCCUACGGGAGGCAGCAGUGGGGAAUAUUGCACAAUGGGCGGAAGCCUGAUGCAGCGACGCCGCGUGGGGGAUGACGGCCUUCGGGUUGUAAACUCCUUUCGACCGCGAGGAAGCCACCUGGUUGGAAGGGUGGUGACGGUAGUGGUAGAAGAAGCACCGGCUAACUACGUG